This is a long non-coding RNA of Oryzias latipes (Japanese medaka), 182 nucleotides long. RefSeq lists it as uncharacterized. The record is from RefSeq and is a predicted model, not a curated record. Lineage: Eukaryota; Metazoa; Chordata; Actinopteri; Beloniformes; Adrianichthyidae.
AAAGAUGUGGAACCAAAUUGGAGUUUCCACCAAGUUAGAAGAGCUUGCAGUCGAGCUAUUGACAGUCUCAAGUGCAAAGAGAGAAUGAAGAUAGAAGCAAGGAGGAGGUCAAAAGGAGGACCAGUCAGCAUGAUCAGCUCUUCAAAAAGAGGGUCAAAAUUGCUGAGAAGAUUCUCAAUCAA